GAUGAACGCCGGCGGUGUGCCUAAUACAUGCAAGUCGUACGCACUGGCCCAACUGAUUGAUGGUGCUUGCACCUGAUUGACGAUGGAUCACCAGUGAGUGGCGGACGGGUGAGUAACACGUAGGUAACCUGCCCCGGAGCGGGGGAGUAACAUUUGGAAACAGAUGCUAAUACCGCAUAACAAUAAAAGACCGCAUGGCUUUUAUUUGAAAGAUGGCUUUGGCUAUCACUCUGGGAUGGACCUGCGGUGCAUUAGCUAGUUGGUAAGGUAACGGCUUACCAAGGCGAUGAUGCAUAGCCGAGUUGAGAGACUGAUCGGCCACAAUGGAACUGAGACACGGUCCAU
RNAcentral lists this ribosomal RNA (345 nucleotides) under uncultured bacterium. RNAcentral describes it as "bacterial SSU rRNA". It matches the Rfam family "Bacterial small subunit ribosomal RNA", at positions 28 to 334 of the family's 1533-position model. The record is from RNAcentral.